AAGUCGUAACAAGGUUUCCGUAGGUGAACCUGCGGAAGGAUCAUUACUGAUUUGCUUAAUUGCACCACAUGUGUUUUUUUACUGAACAAAUUUCUUUGGUGGCGGGAGCAAUCCUACCGCCAGAGGUUAUAACUAAACCAAACUUUUUAUUUACAGUCAAACUUGAUUUAUUAUUACAAUAGUCAAAACUUUCAACAACGGAUCUCUUGGUUCUC
RNAcentral lists this unclassified non-coding RNA (215 nucleotides) under Candida tropicalis. RNAcentral's name for it is "partial internal transcribed spacer region". The stretch from base 1 to 46 matches the Rfam family "Eukaryotic small subunit ribosomal RNA", at positions 1786 to 1831 of the family's 1831-position model. The record is from RNAcentral. Lineage: Eukaryota; Fungi; Ascomycota; Pichiomycetes; Serinales; Debaryomycetaceae.